Molecule: ribosomal RNA, 427 nt
Filed under: uncultured bacterium
Lineage: Bacteria
Description: partial 16S ribosomal RNA
Rfam family: Bacterial small subunit ribosomal RNA
Source: RNAcentral
UGGGGAAUAUUGCACAAUGGGCGCAAGCCUGAUGCAGCCAUGCCGCGUGUAUGAAGAAGGCCUUCGGGUUGUAAAGUACUUUCAGCGAGGAGGAAGGCGUUGUGGUUAAUAACCGCAGCGAUUGACGUUACUCGCAGAAGAAGCACCGGCUAACUCCGUGCCAGCAGCCGCGGUAAUACGGAGGGUGCAAGCGUUAAUCGGAAUUACUGGGUGUAAAGCGCACGCAGGCGGUCUGUCAAGCCGGAUGUGAAAUCCCCGGGCUCAACCUGGGAACUGCAUCCGAAACUGGCAGGCUAGAGUCUUGUAGAGGGGGGUAGAAUUCCAGGUGUAGCGGUGAAAUGCGUAGAGAUCUGGAGGAAUACCGGUGGCGAAGGCGGCCCCCUGGACAAAGACUGACGCUCAGGUGCGAAAGCGUGGGGAGCAAACA